AUGCUUCUUCUAUGAGAGCAAACACGACAUAUUCAGAAGCGCUUCUUUGAAGAAGCACUUUUUCUCACGCGCAUUGGCUCAAGCUUUCACGGUUUCUCUUGUGCGACACACUCUCAAAAUCAUGCUCUCUCCCUCUCAAUUCUUACGCAACAAUUAUGACGCUGAUUCUCUUGGUCUCGAAUUGGUUGGAUUUGGAUUUCAGAACUGAUUCGAAUUGUUAUCGACUCAGGAUUCGAUUCGCAUUGGGGCUCAGAAUCUGUUUGCGCUCGAAAUUUCAACUCGGAGCAGUUUGAGUUAAAGUUAGAGCAAGCAUACGAUAUCAUAAAGCUGAGAAUGGAGGAAUGCUUAUCGGUUGAAGCGAUGAGGAGAAGAAAAUGCAGCUUUCGAUCUUUCUCACAAGGUAUUCGAUAAAAUGCCUCACCGGAUUUUUUCCCUCUUUUUGCUUCUAUUUUACUUUUGAUUUGUUGCCGUUGUGUUUCAUAGUUGCUAUUGAUGAUUAUGCUCAGGUUAGUUUGCAUAUUAGCAUAUAAUUAUCUUCGUUAUUGCCGUUUCGUGCUAUUGCCGAUAAAAAGUAAUUAUUGUUCAUUAUGCGUGACAAAUAUAGUGUUUCUUUCCAUUGUUAUGAUUUCUUUCUUUGUUAACGUUCUAGUUGAAGUGGUUUAAUUCAGUUUUGCAAUGGGAAUCUGGGACUUGCAUAUGGUUGACAUAGUAGUAUAAUUUGUAUGAAAUAUGAACCCACUUAGUAUAUAACAAAAAUUAAUUGGAUUAUCCUAUUAAGCUAACAAUGUGAGUAGUUCUAUUAAAGACUUACAUGUUCUUUAUACAUGUGGUAUUUGUGUUAGAAGUUAGAACAAGGUAAUUGUAAAAGAAAAUGCCUUGUUUGACUAACAUCAUACUAGUUUAGGUUUGUGUACUAGUGUAAACUUAUGGACUAUUAUAUGAUCAUUAGGAAGCUCCAUGCAUGGAGUUACAGGAAGACAACAAAACUUCAUGCAAUGGCCAUUGUUUUUUGAGUGGAGUGAGGAUGCUUUGUAAUAAUUAGUAAUGUAGUGGACAUGUUUUGCAAUUACAUGAUUCCUUCUAGUUUUUGGUUUGUUGGAAUCAUUUUGUAGUGAAAAACUGAAAAUUGAAUAUUUACAUCUUUUUUCAUUUCUAAGUUGUUGCUUGACUAUUAGUCAAAGGGGUUGCAAACUGGAUGAUUGAGGCCUUGAAGCAUGUCAGCGAAUAGUCAUCUAAUGGAUCUUAGAAGGCCCAUGUCAGGUAUUUUUAUCAUACUUCACAGAAAAUGCAACAUGCAAUAUUCUGUAGUUAUUUAAUAUUAUGGCCCUGUAAGUACAAUUAGUGACAUUCUACUGCUGACCUUAUGAUAAUAGACCAGUAGGGACUUAACAUGCAGGAACUUACUCAUUCUAGAAUCAAAAUUUCAAUCAUUAUAAUUUUGUCACUGACCUUUAUAUACUUUAUUCUAUCAUUAUAAUUAUUAUUCUCAUGAUCUGAGUACUUUUUUCAUUGAAUCUUAGCCUCUCAAUAUCUUUUGGAAAUGUUUGGCAAUUAUUUAAUCAAUUAAUGUGAAAAGUUUAUUGGAUGUUUGCUUUUAGUCACGGGUGCUACAUUUUUUAAUUUGUAUUUGCCAAAAACAGAUGGACUCAUCUCACCAACUCACAUUGGAAUUUACAAAUGAUUUUGAACCCGCCAUUUUUUAAUUCUUUUGAGGUUCCUUAAAGUGCUUUUGGAAUGUGAAUUCACGUGUUAUAUUUCUGUUCAUUAAACUAACCUCAUGGAAAAAAUUUAAACUUUUAGGUUUCACAUGGAAAAAAUUUAACCUGACUGCGGCCUGUUUGACAGAAGUCAAAGCCAGCUCAUAUUUACGAUAGCUUUUAGUGAAAACCAUUAUUGACGAGCUGACUUCAGGUUUCCAAAGAUUUCUACAUAAUGCAUCAGUUUCGUAGUAAAGCAAGGUCGGUUUGAUCGUCCACAAAGGAAUCAAGAAAAGUCUUCACGUCAAUUUUGCCGAAGUUCUCGAUGAUGCCUGUUCUUGCAACGUUUGUGGCUUAGUCUGGCUUGAUGGGGAAUCGUUGUUAUAAAGCACCUGAACUUUUGAUGGGUUCUACCCGUUACUCAACUGCAGUUAAUAUCUGGUCGAUGGGCUGCAUAUUUGCGGAUAUGAUUAAGCUCAAACCUUUGUUCGUUGGUAAAGACGAACCUGAGAUAUAUUGGCUUAGAUAUUUUAGUAAUUUCACCAAAACACAAUCACUAUUAUAUGUGUAAUUUCUCUGCACUUAUAUGAAAUAAUGGAUUGGACAUUUUAUAUAUCAAGUUUGCUUGGCGUGCCAACAGAAGAAUCCUGGCCUGGUGUGUCUUCUAUAUGCACCUUUAUUCAACAUCUUGAUCCUUCAAUGAUGCCAAAGGUAUUCAUGUUCUGCUUUUGAUCUCCUUUUAUAAAUUUUGGGCAGCAAAUAAGCAAUGUAUGGAAACUAUUGGAUUUUGUAGGACCUAGCAUUAGAGUUCCCAAAGUCUAAUAGAUUUUAUUAUUCUUUUUCUAAAACUAUUUUUUGUUUUAAAAUUCACACUUAAUUUUCACUAACAACUUGAUUUUCACUUUUAAUUCACUUUUGUAAUACUAGCAUGAAUAGACAUAUAGAUUCAAAAGGAAUAUAUUGGAGCCAAUCCAACACUCCACCAACAAGAUACUCUGUUACAGUUGUUCAUUCCAAAAUCUCUAGUAUUUCUUUGUCCAGAGCUGAAUAUGAAAAUGCAGAAGUCCAGGAGGAAUUUUAUGAUGCAGUGGCUCUGAUUCAUCGACUUCAGAUGAAGAAAGUGAAGAAGAUGAAGAUCUUGAGAAUAAGGAUCGAAAGGUCAAACUAAAGAAUAUUUCAUGGGCAAUGACAGCUUUACCUUUGAAGCGAACAUCAGGCAAUGGCAAGAAGAGAAAGAAAAGUCAGCAAAGUGGAAAAGAUACAAACAAUAACAACAACGCAUAAGCGGUUUUCCCCAAAAGCUCCAACGGAGCGCUUAUUUCCCAAAGCGGUUUUUUCUGUUCAAAAUGGAGUUGCUACUCUGUUCUGUUGUGGAAGGUAAUGGAAAAACGACUUUGAAUUUGAAAUUCUCAGACUUGAACUAGUUAAAGAUGAAGCAUCCAUUACUCUAUUUUUUGGUGUUAAUUUUAUCUUUGAUAUUGCUGAUUAAAGAUGA
Molecule: long non-coding RNA, 3192 nt
Organism: Vicia villosa (hairy vetch)
Lineage: Eukaryota; Viridiplantae; Streptophyta; Magnoliopsida; Fabales; Fabaceae
Exons: 5
Source: RefSeq, a predicted model, not a curated record